GCUCAGGAUGAACGCUAGCUACAGGCUUAACACAUGCAAGUCGAGGGGUAGCAGGGUAGCAAUACCGCUGACGACCGGCGCACGGGUGAGUAACACGUAUCCAACCUUCCCAUAACUCGGGGAUAGCCUUUCGAAAGAAAGAUUAAUACCCGAUAGUACUUUAUUAAGGCAUCUUAAGAAAGUUAAAGAUUUAUUGGUUAUGGAUGGGGAUGCGUUCCAUUAGAUAGUUGGUGAGGUAACGGCUCACCAAGUCUUCGAUGGAUAGGGGUUCUGAGAGGAAGGUCCCCCACAUUGGUACUGAGACACGGACCAAACUCCUACGGGAGGCAGCAGUGAGGAAUA
This 342-nucleotide ribosomal RNA is filed under the name uncultured Bacteroidales bacterium. RNAcentral's name for it is "bacterial SSU rRNA". It matches the Rfam family "Bacterial small subunit ribosomal RNA", at positions 22 to 363 of the family's 1533-position model. The record is from RNAcentral. Lineage: Bacteria; Pseudomonadati; Bacteroidota; Bacteroidia; Bacteroidales.